RNAcentral lists this long non-coding RNA (635 nucleotides) under Helianthus annuus (common sunflower). RNAcentral's name for it is "sRNA HanXRQr2_Chr03g0123021". The record is from RNAcentral. Lineage: Eukaryota; Viridiplantae; Streptophyta; Magnoliopsida; Asterales; Asteraceae.
GUUUUUCAGAUUCAUCUUCUACAGCAGGCCUCACGGGUGGUUUCUCGGGUGUAGAUUCAAGAUUUAUAGAAUCCAUAUCGUUAGCUUCUCCACCGUUGCUCAAACUAAAAGAUAAGUUUCCCAUUUUACCCUCGAUAUCCUCACUGACAGUUGCUUCGGUUUCGUUUUCAAUGGCGACUGUACGAUCAUUGCUACACUCUCCGUUUUCCCUUGAAACGGAAAAACCGGUCUGUGAAUCUACUGUGUCAAUGUCCAUGUCGCUAUUGGAUGAUGAACUUUGAGAUGUAGAGAUGUUUGCUGAUGAGUCGUUAGCAUGCAUCACAGUUUUGCAUUUUUCAGUGGCAUCAAGUGAUUCGGAAGUCAACGAGCAGUCAACCGAUUGGGUUACAAUAGGCAUCUUUUCUUGGGAUAUGUCUGGCGUUUGAAGGUCAUCUUUUUUAGAAGCUUCUUCGAUAGGAUUUAAGCAUGAAGCUCUGGCGGAAACUCUGAAAAGUAUAACAAUAAUGUAAAUUUGAUGAAAACACAAAACACCACAUUAGAGCUUCAUGUUGAAUGGCGGAAACUCUGAAAAGUAUAACAGCGGACUGUUAAUCAUGCAUCAUGUGGUGGCGUUGAUAGCCGAAAGACAAGGGUAA